CAUUUGGUCAUAAAAGGAAUCAAGCAAAAUUCUGAGGCAGAGACAGGACCACAUAGUAAGAAUGGUUGGAAAAGCACAACAACAUCAUAGGAAUUCAGUGAGCUUAAGUGGAAAAGGAAAAGGGAAAUGACACUAAAGAGUGGUGGGAGUUAUAUUCCUUUAUAAGAAUGUUGUUAAUUCUUGUUAGGCACUCUCAUAGGAUGGUUGUUUUCACUGGAAAUUAUUUAUCAGAUUCAUAGUACUACAGAUAUUAUUCUUUUUAACUUAGAUAUUGUUAAAUAC
This 282-nucleotide small RNA is filed under the name Vigna angularis var. angularis. RNAcentral describes it as "Non-protein coding transcript". Lineage: Eukaryota; Viridiplantae; Streptophyta; Magnoliopsida; Fabales; Fabaceae. The record is from RNAcentral.